This 388-nucleotide ribosomal RNA is filed under the name uncultured bacterium. RNAcentral's name for it is "bacterial SSU rRNA". It matches the Rfam family "Bacterial small subunit ribosomal RNA", at positions 515 to 902 of the family's 1533-position model. The record is from RNAcentral.
CCGGGGAUGGACGGACAAUGCCGCUUUAUCCGGAAUGAUUGGGCAUAAAGGGUCCGCAGGUGGUAUUGUUUGUCUGCUGUUAAAGAGUUUGGCUCAACCAAAUCAAAGCAGUGGAAACUACAAAGCUAGAGUAUGGUCGGGGCAGAGGGAAUUCCUGGUGUAGCGGUGAAAUGCGUAAAUAUCAGGAAAAACACCGGUGGCGAAGGCGCUCUGCUAGGCCAAAACUGACACUGAGGGACGAAAGCUAGGGGAGCGAAUGGGAUUAGAUACCCCAGUAGUCCUAGCCGUAAACGAUGGAUACUAGGCGUAGCUCGUAUCGACCCGAGCUGUGCCGAAACUAACGCGUUAAAUAUCCCGCCUGGGGAGUACGCAGGCAACUGUGAAACUC